RNAcentral lists this ribosomal RNA (470 nucleotides) under uncultured bacterium. RNAcentral's name for it is "partial 16S ribosomal RNA". It matches the Rfam family "Bacterial small subunit ribosomal RNA", at positions 28 to 507 of the family's 1533-position model. The record is from RNAcentral.
GACGAACGCUGGCGGCGUGCUUAACACAUGCAAGUCGAACGGUGAACGAGGGAGCUUGCUCCCUCCGGAUCAGUGGCAAACGGGUGAGUAACACGUGAGCAAUCUGCCCCGAACUCUGGGAUAAGCGUUGGAAACGACGUCUAAUACCGGAUACGACGCGGGAGGGCAUCCUCUCCGCGUGGAAAGAACUUCGGUUCGGGAUGAGCUCGCGGCCUAUCAGCUUGUUGGUGAGGUAACGGCUCACCAAGGCGACGACGGGUAGCCGGCCUGAGAGGGUGACCGGCCACACUGGGACUGAGACACGGCCCAGACUCCUACGGGAGGCAGCAGUGGGGAAUAUUGCACAAUGGGCGCAAGCCUGAUGCAGCAACGCCGCGUGAGGGACGACGGCCUUCGGGUUGUAAACCUCUUUUAGCAGGGAAGAAGCGAAAGUGACGAUACCUGCAGAAAAAGCACCGGCUAACUACGUG